This is a long non-coding RNA of Hemicordylus capensis (graceful crag lizard), 584 nucleotides long. RefSeq lists it as uncharacterized. The transcript is spliced from 3 exons. The record is from RefSeq and is a predicted model, not a curated record. Lineage: Eukaryota; Metazoa; Chordata; Lepidosauria; Squamata; Cordylidae.
UGUUACCUGGAUUGCUUUCUGGAUGCCAGAAUUGCCUUCCUGAUGCUUCCCAGCCCAGGUCUCUUCUGAACUUGCUGUCUGUGGGUGUUUUGCCCCCGUGGCUGCUUUGACUGGCCGGUAAGAGGACCACGUCCUGCUCUUCAGCCCUGAACUUGAACUCUGCCUUUCUCAGGCCUUCUGGGUUCAUGCUGCAGCUGCUUCUCCCCUGCCGCCCUGGGUGAGUGGACUGGUGGGGCUGUGCCUCCUGCAAAACAAUUGGCAGCUCUCCUAGACUGAUCGGGCGUCUUCUGGAAUGAGUAUCCAUCUCCAGGUUGGAUUGGAUCAAAUCCCGCAUCGAUAAAUACUCACUACGUUGCCUGCAGCUUGUAUCUGCUGUCUGGCGGAUUGAGGACUGGUGAGCGGGAUGUGUUUCCCACAAGAGCCAUCAGGCAGCCCCUGUGCACUGAAGUCCCCUCUUGCUCAGACACCCUCCAUGACUUCAAACACUCCUGUGUGACUCUCUUGAAGACAGAAGCCACGUGGCGUUCAUCUGGUCUUAGAACUCCCUGUUCGUUGGCUUCAAACCCUCUUCUUCUUCUACAGUG